UCGCACAUCUGCAUUGUGUUUGUGUGGACGGAAACGUGUAAGCCCACCCGCGACGAGUCCAGCCAGCCACACGAUCUUAUCGUCGUCCACGAGCGGCUCCUGCCUCUCUCACAAGCCGCGCCUGCCCGCCCCGCCGGAGCAACGGCAUGAUCGCCAUGGCUGCGCGCUGCUUCUUCUACUUCUCCCCUAAACCCUGCCUCUCCUUCACCCCACGGUGCUCCUCCUCCUCCUCCUCCCCGCCAGCGCCAGGGGGGAAGGGAAAGGGGAAGGCGCUGAGGGAGGACUGGCGAGAGAAGUCCAAGCCCAUCCCUCCCGGAGGCGUCUACCCGGCCAAGGACAAGUGCAGCCGCUGCGGCCUCUGCGACACGUACUACAUCGCCCACGUCAACAACGCCUGCGCCUUCCUCGGGGACGGCAUGUCCCGUGUCGAGGAUCUGGAACCAGUGGUCCAUGGGAGGGGCAGGAAGGAUACCAUGGAUGAAAUGUACUACGGGGUGCAUGAGCAGCUCCUGUAUGCCAGGAAAACGGAACCUGUUCAAGGAGCUCAGUGGACAGGAAUAGUCACAACAAUCGCAGUUGAGAUGCUGAAAUCAAAUAUGGUUGAUGCCGUGGUUUGUGUACAAAGUGACCCAGACGAUAGGUUUGCCCCAAGGCCUGUUUUAGCCAGGACACCAGAAGAAGUGAUUGCAGCCAGAGGUGUCAAGCCGACAUUAUCACCUAAUCUCGAUACACUAGCCUUAGUGGAGGCAGCUGGUGUAAAGCGUCUUCUCUUUUGUGGUGUCGGCUGUCAAGUGCAAGCUUUGAGAUCUGUAGAGAAGUACCUUGGCUUGGAAAAGCUUUAUGUGCUUGGCACAAACUGUGUGGACAAUGGUACUCGUGAAGGACUUGAUAAAUUUUUGAAUGCUGCAAGCAGUGAACCAGAAACUGUUCUACAUUACGAAUUUAUGCAAGACUACAAGGUUCACUUAAAGCAUUUGGAUGGGCAUAUAGAAGAGGUCCCGUAUUUUUCCCUGCCAGCCAAUGAUUUGGUUGAUGUCAUUGCACCAUCAUGCUACAGCUGCUUUGACUACACAAAUGGCUUGGCGGAUUUAGUGGUGGGCUAUAUGGGAGUACCGAAAUAUUCGGGCGUUUCUAUGACUCAGCACCCUCAGUAUAUUACAGUCAGGAACGAGCGAGGGAGGGAGAUGCUCAGCCUGAUAGAGGGCCUUUUGGAGAGCACGCCAACAGUUAGCAGUGGUGCUAGACAACCAUUCGUGAUGGAGACAGUGAAAGCCGAUGAUGCAGCGAAAAUGGGAAAAGGCCCUUCUAAUCCAGCUCCCAUAUUUGUGGGCAACAUCAUCGCCUUCCUGCUAAACCUGAUUGGGCCCAAGGGCCUGGAGUUUGGUCGCUACUCUCUGGAUUACCACACGAUAAGGAACUACCUGUAUGUGAACCGGGCAUGGGGAAGGGCAAGAGCGGAGCAGCAUAUGCCAUCGUAUGCCAAGAAAAUCGUGGAGGCCUACAACAAGGACGGACGCAUCGACUCCAUGCUUGAGCAGAAUAAACAGUGAAGUGUAUUGUAUCAUACCUCCGCAUAUGCAUAUGUAGCACACACGGCCACACGAUCCUUAUAGAUAGUAUUAGCAAGCAAAACAAAUAGUGAGUGCACAGCAGAAAUAUUUAGUUCAGACAGCGAGUGGUACGCGUUAGGGCUCAGGUUACUGAUUUAGAUCCUCCCCGACAGGCAGCAGGCUCAAGGAUAAACUCCAAUGAUGCAAUAGAAUUUGUACCAUUAGUCUCUUCACUUGGGUUGUCUGCCCGACAAUUUCAAGGAAAAUGGGUCCAUUGAAGAGCCUUGUCUAUACACAGAUAUGUGAACAAAGAAGAUCAGUCCCGAAGAAGAUCACCACUUCUUUGCUGCCAAAUGAGGCAUGUCUACAGACAGGUUAUUGGAAGGCCAGGCUGUGUUGAAUUUUUUAUUUUUUUUUAUGAAACAAGGCAAAAGAUUUGCCAUUUCGUUGAUCAAGAAAGGAGGUUUGUGCUGAAUAUUGGGUUCUGAAGGGAACAAUGUCUCUGUUAGCCCAAAAUAGUGAGUAGCUAGUUCUCCGAGGAUCAACCAAAGAGGAUGCACGAUCAGCUAGGUGUUACUGCACAAAUAUUCUACAAACGCACACAUAUACACUUGAACUGGAGUGCUACUAGUACUACUAUGGAGGAGGCUGGUUGUAGUGGUAAUACUACACUUCGAUUUCUACUUGCUUUGGAUCGGCCUUGG
This 2254-nucleotide ribosomal RNA is filed under the name Triticum aestivum (bread wheat). RNAcentral's name for it is "partial small subunit ribosomal RNA". Lineage: Eukaryota; Viridiplantae; Streptophyta; Magnoliopsida; Poales; Poaceae. The record is from RNAcentral.